RNAcentral lists this ribosomal RNA (273 nucleotides) under uncultured bacterium. Its description in RNAcentral is "partial 16S ribosomal RNA". It matches the Rfam family "Bacterial small subunit ribosomal RNA", at positions 524 to 796 of the family's 1533-position model. The record is from RNAcentral.
UACAGAGGUCUCAAGCGUUGUUCGGAAUCACUGGGCGUAAAGGGUGCGUAGGCGGCGCGGAAAGUCAGGGGUGAAAUCCCGGGGCUCAACCCCGGAACUGCCUUUGAUACUCCCGUGCUUGAGUGCUGGAGAGGAGUCCGGAAUUCACGGUGGAGCAGUGAAAUGCGUGGAUAUCGUGAGGAACACUAGCGGCGAAGGCGGGACUCUGGACAGUCACUGACGCUGAGGCACGAAGGCCAGGGGAGCAAACGGGAUUAGAAACCCCCGUAGUCC